RNAcentral lists this long non-coding RNA (1393 nucleotides) under Volvox carteri. Its description in RNAcentral is "long non-coding RNA (VCAR_LNC004110)". Lineage: Eukaryota; Viridiplantae; Chlorophyta; Chlorophyceae; Chlamydomonadales; Volvocaceae. The record is from RNAcentral.
CUGUGUUUCUACCUUGCUUAGCUAUAAAUGCAGUGAUCGCGUUACUGUUGACUUGCUCUACAGCUAAAACCCUCAAUACUCUGCAUAUCAUCCAAAGUUACAAGUAGUAUUGAGCACCUGGUUACUUUACCGACGGACACAAAUCAAGUACGUCGUGAUGUGUAGACGCAGAGAUCAACUGAAAUCUUCAUACAAAUACAUGGCGAAACGGAUAGGCUAAGGCCUGAGCGUGCAUGAAUCCCUGCCGUACCAUGAAAUAUAUCAGCGGUUCCGUUCAGGCACGUUCCGCGUAGCCGUGUGAUCAGCAUCUUACGACGACAGUGAGCCCAUGUCAGGCAGGCGGUAGGUUAUCGUGCCCGCGGUGUGCUGAGCUGCUAGGUGCCGCUGGUAAUCUGCCAGGCGCUGCGAUGUUCCCUCCUGCAGCAGAGCGUAAAAAUCCUCGUUGCGGAAGCGAUCCAUACAUACAUACGUGGUACAAUUAAACCUCGGAUGACCGAUCGGAAGGAUUUUCGACCCUGACAGGUCUCGAUGUAUGUACGUUGUUACAGGGUGGUAUAGCUUCACCAGCGGCCCCCUUUCCCGAGGGAGUUCCCUGCUCUCCCCUGCUAGAGGGGCACCCUAAUCCGCUCACCCCAUCCGACCUCAGAAUGUAUUCGUUGGGUUCAGCAACUCACCACCAGCAUCCAACCAAAUCCAGCGGACCAACUGCGCCUCAACUUAGUUCCAGGUCAGCUCGCAAGUUGAGUAUCUCGUCCUACACUGACCAUAACAUGGGGGGCCGCCUACCAUUUCGACCCCUCUCUCACACCCGGGAGGACGGUAGACGGUUUUGAACCCGGAUACUCAGGGAGCAGAAGUCAGGCCUUAGGGCCCCUCUGCCAACCGCCUGCCCUAUGUAUGUAUGUUUGUGGAUAGGUAAAUAUGUGUUGUGCUCGCAUUAUUCAUACAACCAAUUGACAGCGGACCAAAACUAAUGUGUAUUGAUCUAGUGAGGAGGCGGUUUCCUGAGCACUACUAGUACCUGGCACCAGCUUGCACCUACAUUUGCAAGUCGUCACCAGCAUUUUGUUGCCGUUUGCUCUGCCAAUAGCCCCUGAACAGGACACCACCAUUGAACCAGUCGGUCGGCACGGUAAGCUUGGAUUCAAACAAUCAAGUGAUACCUUUCCGAAUUUGGAGUUUAAGAAGCUAGCAGCUGAAGGAGGCCUUAUCAAGGUUAAGCAAAAAGGAAUGAAAGCUGUUCAUGGUGCACCUGUACAUAAUAAAAGGAAAGAGAUGUAACGUUGCAAGGGACUAACUUAAAAAAGCAAGGCACUAUGGCUAAUGGUAUCGGUUGUAAGUUGUAAAAUGAAAAUAAUAAAAAUAUGUUUUAACAGUAAGGUUAAUUUACUAC